CAGGUGUAGCGGUGAAAUGCGUAGAGAUCUGAAGGAAUACCGAUGGCGAAGGCAGCCUCCUGGCAUCAUACUGACACUGAGGUUCGAAAGCGUGGGUAGCAAACAGGAUUAGAUACCCUGGUAGUCCACGCCGUAAACGAUGUCUACUAGUCGUUGGGGAACUUGAUUCCUUAGUGACGCAGCUAACGCAAUAAGUAGACCGCCUGGGGAGUACGGCCGCAAGGUUAAAACUCAAAUGAAUUGACGGGGGCCCGCACAAGCGGUGGAGCAUGUGGUUUAAUUCGAUGCAACGCGAAGAACCUUACCUGGUCUUGACAUAUCUAGAAUCCUGCAGAGAUGCGGGAGUGCCUUCGGGAAUUAGAAUACAGGUGCUGCAUGGCUGUCGUCAGCUCGUGUCGUGAGAUGUUGGGUUAAGUCCCGCAACGAGCGCAACCCUUUUCCUUAGUUACCAGCGGUUUGGCCGGGGACUCUAAGGAUACUGCCAGUGACAAACUGGAGGAAGGCGGGGACGACGUCAAGUCAUCAUGGCCCUUACGACCAGGGCUACACACGUGCUACAAUGGUAGGUACAGAGGGCAGCUACACAGCGAUGUGAUGCGAAUCUCAAAAAGCCUAUCGUAGUCCAGAUUGGAGUCUGCAACUCGGGUCCAUGAAGUAGGAAUCGCUAGUAAUC
RNAcentral lists this ribosomal RNA (673 nucleotides) under uncultured bacterium. Its description in RNAcentral is "bacterial SSU rRNA". It matches the Rfam family "Bacterial small subunit ribosomal RNA", at positions 670 to 1343 of the family's 1533-position model. The record is from RNAcentral.